UACGUAUGGUGCGAGCGUUGUCCGGAUUUACUGGGCGUGAAGGGGGCGCAGGCGGCGCGCCAAGCCCGAUGUGAAAGCCCGCGGCCCAACCGCGGGACUGCAUUGGGAACUACCGGGCUGGAGUGCCGGAGAGGUAGGCGGAAUUCCUAGUGUAGCGGUGAAAUGCGUAGAUAUUAGGAGGAACACCAGUGGCGAAGGCGGCCUACUGGACGGUGACUGACGCUGAGGCUCGAAAGCGUGGGGAGCAAACAGG
RNAcentral lists this ribosomal RNA (253 nucleotides) under uncultured bacterium. Its description in RNAcentral is "partial 16S ribosomal RNA". It matches the Rfam family "Bacterial small subunit ribosomal RNA", at positions 524 to 776 of the family's 1533-position model. The record is from RNAcentral.